RNAcentral lists this ribosomal RNA (253 nucleotides) under uncultured bacterium. Its description in RNAcentral is "partial 16S ribosomal RNA". It matches the Rfam family "Bacterial small subunit ribosomal RNA", at positions 524 to 776 of the family's 1533-position model. The record is from RNAcentral.
UACGAAGGGGGCUAGCGUUGCUCGGAAUGACUGGGCGUAAAGGGCGCGUAGGCGGAUGGCACAGUCAGAUGUGAAAUUCCCGGGCUUAACCUGGGGGCUGCAUUUGAUACGUGUUGUCUAGAGUGAGGAAGAGGGUUGUGGAAUUCCCAGUGUAGAGGUGAAAUUCGUAGAUGUUGGGAAGAACACCGGUGGCGAAGGCGGCAACCUGGUCCUUGACUGACGCUGAGGCGCGAAAGCGUGGGGAGCAAACAGG